AUUGAACGCUGGCGGCAUGCCUAACACAUGCAAGUCGAACGGUAACGCGGGGGCAACCCUCGGCGACGAGUGGCGGACGGGUGAGUAAUACGUAGGAAUCUGCCCAUUUGUUGGGGGAGUAACCCGCGAAGCCGGGCUAAUACCGCAUACGCUCUACGGAGGAAAGCGGGGGAGUCUAAGACCUCGCGCUAAUGGAUGAGCCUACGUCGGAUUAGCUAGUUGGUAGGGUAACGGCCUACCAAGGCGACGAUCCGUAGCUGUCUGAGAGGACGAUCAGCCACACU
This 284-nucleotide ribosomal RNA is filed under the name uncultured bacterium. RNAcentral describes it as "partial 16S ribosomal RNA". It matches the Rfam family "Bacterial small subunit ribosomal RNA", at positions 30 to 314 of the family's 1533-position model. The record is from RNAcentral.